RNAcentral lists this ribosomal RNA (1922 nucleotides) under Triticum aestivum (bread wheat). Its description in RNAcentral is "partial small subunit ribosomal RNA". The record is from RNAcentral. Lineage: Eukaryota; Viridiplantae; Streptophyta; Magnoliopsida; Poales; Poaceae.
CGACCGCUAGCUCGUUUGGUGAGUGGAGUAGUAGAAGUAAGAAGCGGCGGCGGCGGCUGCUCGUUUGGUGAGACGAGGCGAGGCGAGGUAGCAGCGCAAGGCGAGCGAGGAAGAAGAGGUCCAGUCCAGUCCAGUCCUUCUUUUAUUCUCCUAGCAGGCCAUUCGGACGGCCCACCCUCUAUCGGCGUCGUACCUAAAAUUCGAGGUCCUAUAGCUUCGGUAGUGUUUGUUGAAACGUCUCCUAGUCUAUCAACCGUCGCCACCUAUGCCUCAACAAAUGUCCCGCUGGGUACUUCCCCUUCUUUAACGCCACUUCUUCGAAGCAGUUGACGUCCCUGAGCUACUAUUCGUUAAGCUGUUGCUCAAGGCAUUGGAAGCAUUGUAUGCGGUGUUUUUACAACACGCCGAUUAACCGAUGACGGUGGUCAGAACGUUCUUUAUGUACCUCGUGUUCCCCCUCGAAUAGAAGCGAUUUCUCUACCUCGCUCACGAGACGAAGCUUAUAUACGUGCCGCCUUCGGAGCUAUUUGUGUAAGUUCUACUUAGAACGCCCGAACUCACCGGGUGUACAAAGUUCUAAUAGUUUCCCUGAACACUCCCUGAUCUAGUAGAAGUGUGGAGUGUCCCUUUUGGAUAAAAGGUAGACCUGAACUUCGGACCAUUAUAAAACGACCUACUUUCAUACUGCGGGUUUUAACCUCUAGAACCAAACAGUUCUGAGCAACGAAGUUGUUUUUGUGCUGUUUGUCUCUACGCGCUGCCUUGUGAGCCCAAGUACGGUGGUCUCAUACAACUGUCACCGAAGUAUAGUUUCUUCAAACUGCACAAGUCAAACCCCCAGUAUUAAUAUUUUUACAACCGGCCCCUAUUCUCGAUGAAGGCAACGAGACUUUACGGGAGACUUGUCAAAUAACUCGAACAUUCCCUUUAGACCUCCUUUUUCAAAGUCCGUUUCGGACCUAUAAGGAGUGUCAGUGUCCUUUAUCUGUAAGAUCCUCGCUGAAGUACACAACUCUAACGUGAUUCCACACACCUGUCCCUGUCUUUGAUUUCCGGUACAUAGUUACUAUAACAGGUACUUGACCUAGUUGAUCUUCGAUUCGAAUUACGUUACAGUGAUCGAAGACUACAGAGUUUACUACGGUACCGGGUCUCUUCGACGCUGUGGUUGUAAUAGAGCCACCUAGGUAGGGACCUCGACGCCAAGCAGAAGCUCGGUUCCUUCCUCUGCAGCACGACGGAUGUCUAUUAGUUGUUCUGCCUCCCGUAGCAGCGCAAGUUGUAUUUUUAAUUGGUCUUGUUCAUAUCACACGCCGGUUCGGUUCCCUGGUACGGCGGCACGAGGACAACAAUACAAUAGCACUGGAACGUCCGCGUCCUCCGCCGCGGCGGGUUGUACGCCACGGUCCUGUACGAGAAGCACGUCUUGUGGUCGUAGUGGGUUCUGGACCUUAGGUCUUUACCACUCUAACUAAUAGUUCUUAACAAACUUUUCCGGUACCGCCUAUUCCACCAACUACACCACUCCGAAGGCUAGCAAAUACAAUGUGGCCUGGUUAUCAGAGUAGGUGGUUCUUGAGAAACUCCAACAAUAAUUCUAGGUUUUUUUUAAGAACUCAACAACAAACGCUCUCCCACAAGAGAAACACAAGAUAAAUUAACAAAGAACCAGCUAAUACGUCAGAAAUUAAUCGACGAUGUUUGUAACAGGAGAGAUUGACGACUAAUGAAAGAUUAUACCCUUCAUACCUUCUGAAUUACGCUUGUUCGUCGAUUACAUUUCCCGGAAGUUAGUCCUUCCGAACUCAUACACAAUGUACUCUAUCAGUUAACUUACGGAUAUCUUGUCCAGGUAAUAUAACUUCUAAUGUCAAUAGCACUGAGUGAUUUUUAUUUUUCCUCGUUGUAAGUCAAUAUAAUGG